This 328-nucleotide ribosomal RNA is filed under the name uncultured stramenopile. RNAcentral describes it as "partial large subunit ribosomal RNA". It matches the Rfam family "Eukaryotic large subunit ribosomal RNA", at positions 40 to 358 of the family's 3401-position model. The record is from RNAcentral.
AUAUAACUAAGCGGAGGAAAAGAAACUAACAAGGAUUCUCCUAGUAACGGCGAGUGAAGCGAGAAAAGCUCAAGCUUUAAAUCUGUUUGCUUUGACAGUGAAUAGAAUUGUAGUCUAUGGAUGCGUUUGUCAAUCGAGACUGGAGACUAAAGUCCCUUGGAAAAGGGCAGCAUGGAGGGUGAGACUCCCGUUCAUAGUUUUCAGCUUCUUGAUGUACGACACGUAUUCCUCGAGUCGAGUUGCUUGGGAAUGCAGCUCAAAGUAGGUGGUAAAUUCCAUCUAAAGCUAAAUAUGGGUGCGAGACCGAUAGCGAACAAGUACCGUGAGG